Molecule: ribosomal RNA, 538 nt
Filed under: Candidatus Liberibacter solanacearum
Lineage: Bacteria; Pseudomonadati; Pseudomonadota; Alphaproteobacteria; Hyphomicrobiales; Rhizobiaceae
Description: bacterial SSU rRNA
Rfam family: Bacterial small subunit ribosomal RNA
Source: RNAcentral
AAACGUGUGCUAAUACCGUAUACGCCCUGAGAGGGGGAAAGAUUUAUUGGAGAGAGAUGAGCCCGCGUUAGAUUAGCUAGUUGGUGGGGUAAAUGCCUACCAAGGCUACGAUCUAUAGCUGGUCUGAGAGGACGAUCAGCCACACUGGGACUGAGACACGGCCCAGACUCCUACGGGAGGCAGCAGUGGGGAAUAUUGGACAAUGGGGGCAACCCUGAUCCAGCCAUGCCGCGUGAGUGAAGAAGGCCUUAGGGUUGUAAAGCUCUUUCGCCGGAGAAGAUAAUGACGGUAUCCGGAGAAGAAGUCCCGGCUAACUUCGUGCCAGCAGCCGCGGUAAUACGAAGGGGGCGAGCGUUGUUCGGAAUAACUGGGCGUAAAGGGCGCGUAGGCGGGUAAUUAAGUUAGGGGUGAAAUCCCAAGGCUCAACCUUGGAACUGCCUUUAAUACUGGUUAUCUAGAGUUUAGGAGAGGUGAGUGGAAUUCCGAGUGUAGAGGUGAAAUUCGCAGAUAUUCGGAGGAACACCAGUGGCGAAGGCGG